RNAcentral lists this ribosomal RNA (284 nucleotides) under Pseudomonas aeruginosa. Its description in RNAcentral is "partial 23S ribosomal RNA". It matches the Rfam family "Bacterial large subunit ribosomal RNA", at positions 868 to 1149 of the family's 2925-position model. Lineage: Bacteria; Pseudomonadati; Pseudomonadota; Gammaproteobacteria; Pseudomonadales; Pseudomonadaceae. The record is from RNAcentral.
AUUUAGGUAGCGCCUCGUGAAUUCAUCUUCGGGGGUAGAGCACUGUUUCGGCUAGGGGGUCAUCCCGACUUACCAACCCGAUGCAAACUACGAAUACCGAAGAAUGUUAUCACGGGAGACACACGGCGGGUGCUAACGUCCGUCGUGAAGAGGGAAACAACCCAGACCGCCAGCUAAGGUCCCAAAGUCAUGGUUAAGUGGGAAACGAUGUGGGAAGGCACAGACAGCCAGGAUGUUGGCUUAGAAGCAGCCAUCAUUUAAAGAAAGCGUAAUAGCUCACUGGU